AUUAUUCUUCAGGUUUUUCACAGAGAGAUAAAAUAACAUUUUUGUAUUUGAAUGAAAAUAUUGGAGAGUAAACUCAUCUUUUUGUGGACUUGCUGAAAGUAUUUUCAGUAGAACUAUAGUAGUAGAGUAAUGGAUUAAGGCAGAAAAUAAGCCUAUGUAAAGAGGUCAGUUGAGACAAU
Molecule: long non-coding RNA, 179 nt
Filed under: Monodelphis domestica (gray short-tailed opossum)
Lineage: Eukaryota; Metazoa; Chordata; Mammalia; Didelphimorphia; Didelphidae
Description: lncRNA (ENSMODG00000038215.1)
Source: RNAcentral